CCAGUGAACAGAAGAACAGAAAUCAGAAUUCUGACAACAUAACAGAAGGCAGAAGUCCUUGUGAGUCAUUCUCGGAGACCAUAGGGCAGAACGCAAAGAACAUAACAUAGGAGUCAAAUGGAGCCGAACACUUCAGUCACUCACGUGAUGGCUGUGUGUCCUUGGGCUCUACAAGAAGCAUGGUAUCAGCAUCUGCUUCUGAUGAUGCCUCAGGCUGCUUCCACUCAAGUUGGAAGGAAAAAGGGAGGCUGCAUGUGCAGAGAUCACACGGAGGAGGAGGAAGCAAAAGAGAACUUUCUAGCUCGAAAUCACGUAUGGAAGCUGAGUCACCUCCGUUUCUCCUGGAGCCCGAGCUGGCUGUCACCGAGACCUUGCUCAUUAUGCAGACUCAUUCACAUGCAUACCCAAAGCAACACUUGACGGUUGUGGAAGAUUUCCAUCCUCACAGGUCAUGAAAUGCGUCUCCACUGGAAUACUGGUUGUUUAUCACCUACACUAACGAUUUACAAUGGCCUAAGUGUUGUAUUCCUAGUGACUGUAGUCUGAAUCAAAAACUCCUGCCCUGAAGCAAGGACAACUUCUUUAUUCACAUGGAGAAUGAUAGCAGGGAAAAGGCAAAAAUUUAACAAUAACGAAGAAAAAUCCCUCUUUUUCUAUGUGCAGAAUAAAAAUCUUAUUAAAAUAAGA
RNAcentral lists this long non-coding RNA (687 nucleotides) under Homo sapiens (human). RNAcentral's name for it is "non-protein coding lnc-PPP1R3B-4:2". The record is from RNAcentral. Lineage: Eukaryota; Metazoa; Chordata; Mammalia; Primates; Hominidae.